This is a long non-coding RNA of Equus caballus (horse), 2095 nucleotides long. The record is from Ensembl. Lineage: Eukaryota; Metazoa; Chordata; Mammalia; Perissodactyla; Equidae.
CUAACAUCUGUUGCCAAUCUUUUUUUUUUCUUCUCCUCAAAGCCCCCCAGUACAUAGUUGUAUAUUCUAGUUGUAGGUCCUUCUGGCUCUGCUAUGUGGGAUGCUUCCUCAGCAUGGCCUGAUGAGCAGUGCUAGGUCUGUGCCCAGGAUCCCAACCGGCGAAACCCUGGACCACCGCCAAAGUGGAAAGCAUGAACUUAAGCACUCAGCCACCGGGCCGGUCACAGUAAUUGUCAGUCUUCACAGCACACCUGUGACAAUUGAAUGUAGAUAGAUAAAGUCUAAGGACAAAAGAAACCCCAAGGAACCGUAGAGCAGUGCACUUUCUGAGCCUCCUAACCUUGGCUUACUCUUUGAAAAUUUGAGAUAUUACAUUCUUCUCACUGUGAUCGUGAACAUUAAAUGAUAGAAAAUAAAUAAAAUAUUAUGGAACAAAGUAAAAGAAGAGCAGGGUAAGGAGGAUGGGGAAUGCUGACUUGGCAGUGGGCAGGAUUGCAUGGAGUAGUUAGCAUAGGGCUCUUUGGGGCCCCGGAAGUGGGACACUCAGAUCUCCCUUCAAGAUAACCUGCUGACAGCCUUCAGCUUGCAUGCCUUUGGGUACAGCAUCCAUCCCAAAGUGAACGCUCUCUCAAUAGUUCCAAGCCACUGACUAAGCAUAGUGAGAGUACUAAAGUCAGAGUAUUUUUUGCCCAACAUGGGAUGCCUCUAAGAAGAAAUCUUUCCUCUGGGCUUCCCAUCACCCUGGCCAAGACUUUCUCAGAGCUGCACUGCCAUCUGAGGAUCAUCCUACCCAGUCCUCCCAUCUUAUAUGUCUAAUUCCAUGUUGGUGUCUGAUUUUGCGGGGACCUGAACUGACACAGCCUCACAGAGAAGGUGACAUUUGAAAAAAAGCCUUGAAGGAGGUAAUAGAAUUAGCCACGAAGAUUACCUGAGGGCGGAGCAUUCCAGGCAGAAGAGAGAGCCCGGGACGUCCCUGUGUCAGGAAGGAGGGUGCCUGGCAUGUUCCAGGAGCAAAAGGAAGCCACCAGCCUGGAGCAGAGAGAACGGGGGAAAGUUGUAGGAGAGGAAAGCCAAGAAGCUGGAAUGUACACGUGGUAGUGGUCAAGCCAAAUCAACCAUCUAGAUGAAGACAAUCUUCUAGUGUUGAUGGGAAGAAAUAAGACAAAAGGAACUCAGGUCCCUGGGUAUCUCCAUGAACCAGAACCACCCACUCACCUUGAACCCCACAUCUGCCGCCGAGCUGUUACAAGGGAGAAAAAUAAACUCUCUAUAAUUUGAGCCACUAAUUUUGAGUGGGGGAGGGACCUCUUACAACAAAUAAUCAUCUUUUUUAAAUUAGUAUAUUUAAAAAAUUAAGAUACUCAUAAAUUUUACUAGUCAGAGUAAAUCUACAUAAACUAACAAACGGACCAGUCUAUAUACUAGAAUAAUGAGAGGACUAUGGAUGAGAUUGAAUUCAGCACAUGGCAGAAAAUGUGUAGACAGUUUGGUGAUUUUAUUGUUUUAAAAGGGCCUAGCAUUAAAAACAUCCCCUAAUGGGUAAGGAUGGAGUUUUCUUUGAAGGGAGCUGAUGUUUCUGUUGUUAAUCAAAAUGGAUAAUGUUUCGUUUGUCAAGAACUUAGAUGACUUUUUGGAUGGAGAAAUGAGAUGUUUCCUUUUCCCCUUUCCCAUACAUGUAAGAGUUGAGUCUAGACUUGGAGACAGAGAGAAGUGUGCAGCUAUGCCAGCUGGAGAGCAGGUCUGGAGAGCUCAUCCUGGCCACACAAAGGUCUUGUGUUGGUGGCAGCAGUCAGUGGGAGCCCAUUUCCUCUGGAGCACCCUUCAGCCUCCCAGGAGCACUCCUAGUCCCAUCUCCACAAACAAGAGUGAGAGCAAUUAUUUAGAGGCGAGGAGGGCACAGUUCUCUCAUGCUUCAGAUUUGAGGAAUAGAGGAGUCACAGAUGACCGGGCAUGGUGGCAAGACCCAGCCAGAGUGGAAGAAUCUGAGAACUGAGUUCAGAGGCACAUGUAAUUCAGCACCCUGAGGAGCCUUCAGAAACCGCUGCAUCACCCUGGGGACUGAAUUCAGGGAACUGGGGGGGGGGGGGGGGGGGGG